CUGUCCGGAGCUCAGAGAUUCAAAAUUGGCCUGCAACCUAUAUACAAUGUAGAGGCACUUAUCAUUAUGCAGGCAAAUCAGGUUGGACAUCACAGAGCCCACACAUUACAGAAAGAAGCGGUAUCUUUCGUCUCCUUUGUCUCACAGAAACAGUAGAGUUUAGAGUCCGCAUUAAUAGUAGAUGACCUAAUAAAUGGACUUAAAUGACACUAUUGUCUUCUUUCUUGGCCGCACCAUUCAUUUUCCUGAUUGGUUGGCAAAUCACGUAGGAAAAUGUAUGCUCUUCACACCACUUACAAUAUUAUAAAUACACAGAAUGAAAACGCAAA
Long non-coding RNA from Branchiostoma floridae (Florida lancelet), 329 nucleotides. RefSeq lists it as uncharacterized. Lineage: Eukaryota; Metazoa; Chordata; Leptocardii; Amphioxiformes; Branchiostomatidae. The record is from RefSeq and is a predicted model, not a curated record. The transcript has 2 exons.